CCUACGGGAGGCAGCAGUGGGGAAUAUUGGACAAUGGGCCACAAGCCUGAUCCAGCAAUUCUGUGUGCACGAUGAAGGUCUUCGGAUCGUAAAGUGCUUUCAGUUGGGAAGAAGAAAGUGACGGUACCAACAGAAGAAGCGACGGCUAAAUACGUGCCAGCAGCCGCGGUAUA
RNAcentral lists this ribosomal RNA (173 nucleotides) under uncultured Cetobacterium sp. RNAcentral's name for it is "partial 16S rRNA". It matches the Rfam family "Bacterial small subunit ribosomal RNA", at positions 338 to 524 of the family's 1533-position model. Lineage: Bacteria; Fusobacteriati; Fusobacteriota; Fusobacteriia; Fusobacteriales; Fusobacteriaceae. The record is from RNAcentral.